GCCAUAUGUCUGUAGAUCGCUCUGGUUCACCCUCUCCUACUAUGUCUCUCUAUCGCUCUUUAUGUAUUGAGCACCUCCAUAUCACUUUGUCCUCACCUGUCUCGUUACCAUCUCCCCUAGACUGUCGGGCCAAAAGGGAUUCGUAACAGCUCCUGCUUUUCCCAGUCUCUUUUUCCUUGCCCUCCUGGUUCUGACCCUUGCCUGUCCUGACUCUGAGCCCGCCUGUCUGACCACUCUGCCUGCCCAAACCUCGAGCCUGCCUAUCGCUUGGUACUGUUUGGACUCUGACUUGGUUUAUGAACUGUCGCCUGUACCCGACCUGCCUUUUGCCUACCCCUUUUACUAUAAUAAAUAUCGGAG
Oncorhynchus tshawytscha (Chinook salmon) is the source of this 360-nucleotide long non-coding RNA. Lineage: Eukaryota; Metazoa; Chordata; Actinopteri; Salmoniformes; Salmonidae. The record is from Ensembl.